Molecule: ribosomal RNA, 482 nt
Filed under: Mesocestoides sp. B KP-2005
Lineage: Eukaryota; Metazoa; Platyhelminthes; Cestoda; Cyclophyllidea; Mesocestoididae
Description: partial ribosomal RNA
Source: RNAcentral
UCUGUGUCAGCGUCGGCUUAUAAACUAUCACUGCGCGUAAUAAGCAGUGGCUUGGAGGAUUGCCAGCUAACGCGGGCCGUGUGGUGUGAGAUGGCGGUGGCGGCGGCAGCGGCGUUAGACAGCGAUGGCUUCUUCUUAAUGUAGCUUAGACGGCGGUGGCGGUGGCGGCGGCGGCGGCGAUGACGCUGUGCUCACGGUCGCAUUGCCGGUUGCCAGGCGUGAGUUUGUGGGUUUGUUCCACCAGCACCACCACCAAAUGUUGUGGAGUGCUGUUGACGGUGUCGGUGGUGGAGCGCCGCUUGGCUUGGCAACGAUGAGUCCACAAGCCGUGGCUUAGUGUUGGUGUGUGCACGUAAUGUGGGCUCUAGACGGCAGGCAGGCAGGCAGGCGGGCAGGCGACGUGAUGCUGGUUGUGGUCGUCGUUCUUGCUGCUGCUGCUGCUGCAGCUGCUUUGAUGUGGUCUAAUGUGUGCCUGACCUCGA